AGCGAACGCUGGCGGCAGGCUUAACACAUGCAAGUCGAGCGGGCAUCUUCGGAUGUCAGCGGCAGACGGGUGAGUAACACGUGGGAACGUACCCUUCGGUUCGGAACAACUCUGGGAAACUGGAGCUAAUACCGGAUACGCCCUUAUGGGGAAAGGUUUACUGCCGGAGGAUCGGCCCGCGUCUGAUUAGCUAGUUGGUGGGGUAACGGCCUACCAAGGCGACGAUCAGUAGCUGGACUGAGAGGAUGAUCAGCCACACUGGGACUGAGACACGGCCCAGACUCCUACGGGAGGCAGCAGUGGGGAAUAUUGGACAACGGGCGCAAGCCUGAUCCAGCCAUGCCGGGUGAGUGAUGAAGGCCUUAGGGUUGUAAAGCUCUUUUGUCCGGGACGAUAAUGACGGUACCGGAAGAAUAAGCCCCGGCUAACUUCGUG
Molecule: ribosomal RNA, 435 nt
Filed under: uncultured bacterium
Lineage: Bacteria
Description: partial 16S ribosomal RNA
Rfam family: Bacterial small subunit ribosomal RNA
Source: RNAcentral